CGCGGCCUAUCAGCUUGUUGGUGAGGUAACGGCUCACCAAGGCGACGACGGGUUGCCGGCCUGAGAGGGCGACCGGCCACACUGGGACUGAGACACGGCCCAGACUCCUACGGGAGGCAGCAGUGGGGAAUAUUGCACAAUGGGCGAAAGCCUGAUGCAGCGACGCCGCGUGAGGGAUGACGGCCUUCGGGUUGUAAACCUCUUUCAGCAGGGAAGAAGCGCAAGUGACGGUACCUGCAGAAGAAGCGCCGGCUAACUACGUGCCAGCAGCCGCGGUAAUACGUAGGGCGCAAGCGUUGUCCGGAAUUAUUGGGCGUAAAGAGCUCGUAGGCGGCUUGUCGCGUCGGAUGUGAAAGCCCGGGGCUUAACCCCGGGUCUGCAUUCGAUACGGGCAGGCUAGAGUUCGGUAGGGGAGAUCGGAAUUCCUGGUGUAGCGGUGAAAUGCGCAGAUAUCAGGAGGAACACCGGUGGCGAAGGCGGAUCUCUGGGCCGAUACUGACGCUGAGGAGCGAAAGCGUGGGGAGCGAACAGGAUUAGAUACCCUGGUAGUCCACGCCGUAAACGGUGGGAACUAGGUGUUGGCGACAUUCCACGUCGUCGGUGCCGCAGCUAACGCAUUAAGCUCCCCGCCUGGGGAGUACGG
RNAcentral lists this ribosomal RNA (643 nucleotides) under uncultured Actinomycetes bacterium. Its description in RNAcentral is "bacterial SSU rRNA". It matches the Rfam family "Bacterial small subunit ribosomal RNA", at positions 232 to 885 of the family's 1533-position model. Lineage: Bacteria; Bacillati; Actinomycetota; Actinomycetes. The record is from RNAcentral.